AGUCGAACGGGAAUUACUUUAUUGAAACUUCGGUCGAUUUAAUUUGAUUCUAGUGGCGGACGGGUGAGUAACGCGUGGGUAACCUGCCUUAUACAGGGGGAUAACAGUCAGAAAUGGCUGCUAAUACCGCAUAAGCGCACAGAGCUGCAUGGCUCAGUGUGUAAAACUCCGGUGGUAUAAGAUGGACCCGCGUUGGAUUAGCUAGUUGGUGGGGUAACGGCCCACCAAGGCGACGAUCCAUAGCCGGCCUGAGAGGGUGAACGGCCACAUUGGGACUGAGACACGGCCCAGACUCCUACGGGAGGCAGCAGUGGGGAAUAUUGCACAAUGGGGGAAACCCUGAUGCAGCGACGCCGCGUGAAGGAAGAAGUAUCUCGGUAUGUAAACUUCUAUCAGCAGGGAAGAUAGUGACGGUACCUGACUAAGAAGCCCCGGCUAACUACGUGCCAGCAGCCGCGGUAAUACGUAGGGGGCAAGCGUUAUCCGGAUUUACUGGGUGUAAAGGGAGCGUAGACGGUGUGGCAAGUCUGAUGUGAAAGGCAUGGGCUCAACCUGUGGACUGCAUUGGAAACUGUCAUACUUGAGUGCCGGAGGGGUAAGCGGAAUUCCUAGUGUAGCGGUGAAAUGCGUAGAUAUUAGGAGGAACACCAGUGGCGAAGGCGGCUUACUGGA
This 672-nucleotide ribosomal RNA is filed under the name uncultured Lachnospiraceae bacterium. Its description in RNAcentral is "bacterial SSU rRNA". It matches the Rfam family "Bacterial small subunit ribosomal RNA", at positions 60 to 733 of the family's 1533-position model. The record is from RNAcentral. Lineage: Bacteria; Bacillati; Bacillota; Clostridia; Lachnospirales; Lachnospiraceae.